RNAcentral lists this transfer RNA (87 nucleotides) under Caudoviricetes sp. Its description in RNAcentral is "tRNA-Ser". It matches the Rfam family "tRNA". Rfam says of the family: Transfer RNA (tRNA) molecules are approximately 80 nucleotides in length. Their secondary structure includes four short double-helical elements and three loops (D, anti-codon, and T loops). Further hydrogen bonds mediate the characteristic L-shaped molecular structure. tRNAs have two regions of fundamental functional importance: the anti-codon, which is responsible for specific mRNA codon recognition, and the 3' end, to which the tRNAs corresponding amino acid is attached (by aminoacyl-tRNA synthetases). tRNAs cope with the degeneracy of the genetic code in two manners: having more than one tRNA (with a specific anti-codon) for a particular amino acid; and 'wobble' base-pairing, i.e. permitting non-standard base-pairing at the 3rd anti-codon position. The record is from RNAcentral. Lineage: Duplodnaviria; Heunggongvirae; Uroviricota; Caudoviricetes.
GGCAUCAUGGCAGAGUUUGGUUUAUUGCGAAUGGCCUGAACCCAUUUGUGCCGUAAGGCACCGGAGGUUCGAAUCCUCCUGAUGUCG